UUCCACAAUGUCGCAAUGUCCACAUUCUUUGCAUUCUUGUUAUAAAAUCUAUUUCAUCGUCACAUUUGAUAGUUAAUGUGGUCAAUAAAACCGCAACCUCCUUUAAGUAAACAAAAUUUAAAUAUUAUUAUCCGUAUAUAUAUAUACCUUAAACCACUAAAACAACCUUGAACUUCAAAACUUUUAUACUACUUUUCCGUAGAUAAAGUAUUCUUCGCUUUCUUUUUGCGUCCAGAAUUUUUUAAUUUAUUAGAAAUACCAUUGGCCAUCAGCCUUUUCUCGUUUCGCUUCUGUCUCCUUUCACCAAAUCCCCUAUCGAUCAUCUCAAGAGAAGCCUGGCGUUUAGCGUCCGUAACUUCCUUGAUGUAUUCAAGCAUCUUAUUCUCUGACACGUGUUCAUAUUCAGAAAGCUUAGUUCCUACUCGAUCCUCAAUAGCAUGGACUAAAUCAACAUCUCUCUCCGUUACAAUGGAAAUGGACUCGCCACUGCGUCCAGCACGAGCUGUACGACCUACUCGGUGAAUAUAGUCGUCUGGGUCACGAGGAAGGUCGAAGUUAAUUACUAGUUGCACAGAAGGAAUAUCCAAACCUCUGCUUGCAACGUCAGUGGCUACCAAAAUUUUUGCAGCUUCCGCACGAAACCGUCCAAGUGAAUUGAUCCUUUCACGUUGUACCAUUUCUGAAUGAAGUUCGGUGACACGAAGCUCGAGCAAUCGAAGAAUAGAAUAUAUCAAUUCAGCAGUGCGAGUCCGAUUUACAAAGAUAAUUGCAGACUUUUUAGCGUUCUCAGGAAUCGUUAACAAAUGCACCAAAUAAGCUUCUCGUACUUGUGAGGAAACAAAUAUGUAACUUUGCUGCAAAGUAGAAGGUACGGAAAUGUUAUCAGUUUCAACUUCGUAUAACCAAAGGGGAGGCUUAUUAUUUUUCUGUGGCUGAUAUUUGAGCUGACGAAUAGCAUCAGUAACAGUUGCAGUAAACAAAAGCGUUUGACGAUCUUCAGAGGCUGGAAGAACAGAAAAGCAAUCAUCCAAGUCAUCAGCAAAGGUAGGAGACAACAAACGGUCGGCUUCGUCCAUUACCAAAAAUUUUAUUCGACGUAGUCCGGCUAUCGUUUCUUCACCAUUACUUCUAAUCAAGUCAGCUAGGCGACCAGGAGUAGCUACAACAACAUGGGGCCGUUUCGAUAAAUCAAUAGAUUGUCGUAUCAUAUCCAUGCCUCCAACGAUGAGCGCAUGCUUUAAAUUAAGAUUAGCACCUAAAGCAGCAAAUUGUUCAUCAAUCUGUAUUGCAAGUUCUCUGUUCGAGUUAGCUAAUUGUAGUAGAAUAGUUAA
This is a non-coding RNA of Schizosaccharomyces pombe (fission yeast), 1331 nucleotides long. The record is from the annotation of a GenBank genome assembly. NCBI's taxonomy places the organism in Eukaryota, Fungi, Ascomycota, Schizosaccharomycetes, Schizosaccharomycetales, Schizosaccharomycetaceae.